Sapajus apella (tufted capuchin) is the source of this 148-nucleotide small nuclear RNA. RefSeq annotates it as U4 spliceosomal RNA. The record is from RefSeq and is a predicted model, not a curated record. The transcript has a single exon. Lineage: Eukaryota; Metazoa; Chordata; Mammalia; Primates; Cebidae.
AGCUUUGCACAGCGGCAGUAUCGUAGCCAAUGAUGUUUAUCCAAGGCACGAUUAUUGCUAAUUGAAAACUUUUCCCAAUUACCCCCCGCCCCCAGUGACGACUUGCAAUAUAGUCGGCACUGACAAUUUUUGAAAGUCUCUAGGGAGA